CCUACGGGUGGCAGCAGUGAGGAAUAUUGGUCAAUGGGCGCGAGCCUGAACCAGCCAAGUAGCGUGAAGGAUGACUGCCCUACGGUUUGUAAACUUCUUUUAUAAAGGAAUAAAGUGAGGCACGUAUGCCUUUUUGUAUGUACUUUAUGAAUAAAGAUCGGCUAACUCCGUGCCAGCAGCGGAGGUAAUGCGGAGGAUCCGAGCGUUAUCCGGAUUUAUUGGGUUUAAAGGGAGCGUAGAUGGGUUGUUAAGUCAGAUGUGAAAGGUUGCGGCUCAACCGUAAAAUUGCAAUUGAUACUGGCAGUCUUGAGUACAGUAGAGGUAGGCGGAAUUCGUGGUGUAGCGGUGAAAUGCUUAGAUAUCACGAAGAACUCCGAUUGCGAAGGCAGCUUACUAAACUGCCACUGACGUUGAUGCUCGAAAGUGUGGGUAUCAAACAGGAUUAGAUACCCCUGUAGUC
This 460-nucleotide ribosomal RNA is filed under the name uncultured bacterium. RNAcentral describes it as "partial 16S ribosomal RNA". It matches the Rfam family "Bacterial small subunit ribosomal RNA", at positions 338 to 795 of the family's 1533-position model. The record is from RNAcentral.